AACAACACCUCCAUACUACAACAGACAGGAAGAGAGGUCACAGUGGAUAACAACACCUCCAUACUACAACAGACAGGAAGAGAGGUCACAGUGGAUAACAACACCUCCAUACUACAACAGACAGGAAGAGAGGUCACAGUGGAUAACAACACCUCCAUACUACAACAGACAGGAAGAGAGGUCACAGUGGAUAACAACAUCUCCAUACUACAACAGACAGGAAGAGAGGUCACAGUGGAUAACAACACCUCCAUACUACAACAGACAGGAAGAGAGGUCACAGUGAAUAACAACACCUCCAUACUACAACAGACAGGAAGAGAGGUCACAGUGAAUAACAACACCUCCAUA
Oncorhynchus keta (chum salmon) is the source of this 351-nucleotide long non-coding RNA. RefSeq lists it as uncharacterized. The transcript is spliced from 3 exons. Lineage: Eukaryota; Metazoa; Chordata; Actinopteri; Salmoniformes; Salmonidae. The record is from RefSeq and is a predicted model, not a curated record.